This 72-nucleotide transfer RNA is filed under the name Camelus bactrianus (Bactrian camel). It matches the Rfam family "tRNA". From Rfam's summary of the family: Transfer RNA (tRNA) molecules are approximately 80 nucleotides in length. Lineage: Eukaryota; Metazoa; Chordata; Mammalia; Artiodactyla; Camelidae. The record is from Rfam by way of RNAcentral. RNAcentral also lists the same sequence under 2 other names.
GAGAGUAUAGCUCAGUGGUAGAGCGUGUUCUUGGUGUGCAUGAGGUCCUGAGUUCAAUCCCAAGUACAUUCG